RNAcentral lists this ribosomal RNA (451 nucleotides) under uncultured Fibrobacter sp. Its description in RNAcentral is "partial 16S ribosomal RNA". It matches the Rfam family "Bacterial small subunit ribosomal RNA", at positions 341 to 792 of the family's 1533-position model. Lineage: Bacteria; Pseudomonadati; Fibrobacterota; Fibrobacteria; Fibrobacterales; Fibrobacteraceae. The record is from RNAcentral.
ACGGGAGGCAGCAGUAGGGAAUAUUGCACAAUGGGGGGAACCCUGAUGCAGCGACGCCACGUGUGGGAAGACGCAUUUCGGUGUGUAAACCACUGUCGUGAGGGAAUAAGGCUACUUUCCGGAGUAGUUGAAUGUACCUUGAAAGGAAGCACCGGCAAACUUCGUGCCAGCAGCCGCGGUAAUACGAGGGGUGCAAGCGUUGUUCGGAAUCACUGGGCGUAAAGGGAGCGCAGGCGGAGAUGCAAGCGGACUGUGCAAUACCGGGGCCCAACCCCGGACCUGCAGUCCGGACUGCACCUCUUGGAUAGUUCAGGGGCAAGCGGAAUUCCUGGUGUAGCGGUGGAAUGCGUAGAGAUCAGGAAGAACACCGAUGGCGAAGGCAGCUUGCUGGGGACUUAUCGACGCUCAUGCUCGAAAGUGCGGGUAGCAAACAGGAUUAGAUACCCUGGUA